Long non-coding RNA from Canis lupus familiaris (dog), 800 nucleotides. RefSeq lists it as uncharacterized. The record is from RefSeq and is a predicted model, not a curated record. The transcript has 2 exons. NCBI's taxonomy places the organism in Eukaryota, Metazoa, Chordata, Mammalia, Carnivora, Canidae.
UAGAAUUCCAGACUCUUGAAGUGACCUCAGAUGAAACCCAGCAAGGCAGAAGGAGCCAUGAAGCCCUGGCAAGUGAUUUUGUGUAACGUGGUGCUUCUUAAACUUUAGCAUACUUUCAAAGAAUCACAUGGAGGGGUUCCUAAAAUAUAAGUGAUUGGGCCCCAAGCCCAAAGUCUCUGCUUCGCUAUACCACCGGGCUUGUUCAAGUACCUACCUACUCAAGUGAAGAAUCUGCUUCCAGAAUUCUAUCAGACUCUUAUCUUUCUAGGUCAUGGUUUUGACUUGGUUUCCAUUUCAAUGAUGCUUCAGGAUUUACUGCAACCUGCGUCUCCUUCUGGAGAUAGGCGCCUCUUGAAAGGACUUCCUGCAUGAUGCUCACCAUGAAUGCGAAUUCCUCUUCUGUCCUCUUAUUGUGAUGAGGGGGUUGAAGGGCACAUUUAAUGAGAAAGAACCUGUGCUAUCACAGCAGAGAAAAGGGCCCAUCAAACACAUGACGCUAGAUCUGAUGGGACUAGAUCACAGCCCUCUACUGGAGCCUCUUUCUACUUGAACCCUUGGAACAGGUCUCUGUUCCUUUAAGAGCCUCCAGUGAGAAUUCAAUAAUUGUCUCUGUGGAAAGUACGAGUUCCCCCUAGUGCAGCAUGAUAAAUCUUGGAUAAUAAUAGCUCUUUCCAAAAUAAUCCUUAGACAGAAGCAAAAUCCAACUGAGAAGGUUGUUCAGAGUCAAAACGUGGGACCUGGAUCUGUCUUUUAUUUAGCUCUAUAAAUACAUUGAGUGUUUCUUUUGUCACUGCUGUUGA